UGGGGAAUUUUGCGCAAUGGGGGAAACCCUGACGCAGCAACGCCGCGUGAGUGAUGAAGGCCUUCGGGUCGUAAAGCUCUGUCAGAGGGGAAGAAAUGCAGGGGUGCUAAUAUCAUCUUUGCUUGACAGUACCCUCGAAGGAAGCACCGGCUAACUCCGUGCCAGCAGCCGCGGUAAUACGGAGGGUGCGAGCGUUGUUCGGAAUUAUUGGGCGUAAAGCGCGUGUAGGCGGUUUGGUAAGUCUGAUGUGAAAGCCCCGGGCUCAAUCUGGGAAGUGCAUUGGAAACUGUCAGACUUGAAUACGGGAGAGGGUAGUGGAAUUCCUAGUGUAGGAGUGAAAUCCGUAGAUAUUAGGAGGAACACCGGUGGCGAAGGCGGCUACCUGGACCGAUAUUGACGCUGAGACGCGAAAGCGUGGGGAGCAAACAG
This 429-nucleotide ribosomal RNA is filed under the name uncultured bacterium. Its description in RNAcentral is "bacterial SSU rRNA". It matches the Rfam family "Bacterial small subunit ribosomal RNA", at positions 355 to 775 of the family's 1533-position model. The record is from RNAcentral.